GGCCUCGUAACUCCGUUGGCUAGAGCGUUGGCUAAACUAUAGCAUUUCCCUUGCUGGCGUGGGUUCGAACCCCACCGAGGCCA
RNAcentral lists this transfer RNA (83 nucleotides) under Schistocephalus solidus. It matches the Rfam family "tRNA". Rfam says of the family: Transfer RNA (tRNA) molecules are approximately 80 nucleotides in length. Their secondary structure includes four short double-helical elements and three loops (D, anti-codon, and T loops). Further hydrogen bonds mediate the characteristic L-shaped molecular structure. tRNAs have two regions of fundamental functional importance: the anti-codon, which is responsible for specific mRNA codon recognition, and the 3' end, to which the tRNAs corresponding amino acid is attached (by aminoacyl-tRNA synthetases). tRNAs cope with the degeneracy of the genetic code in two manners: having more than one tRNA (with a specific anti-codon) for a particular amino acid; and 'wobble' base-pairing, i.e. permitting non-standard base-pairing at the 3rd anti-codon position. The record is from Rfam by way of RNAcentral. Lineage: Eukaryota; Metazoa; Platyhelminthes; Cestoda; Diphyllobothriidea; Diphyllobothriidae.